RNAcentral lists this ribosomal RNA (450 nucleotides) under uncultured bacterium. Its description in RNAcentral is "bacterial SSU rRNA". It matches the Rfam family "Bacterial small subunit ribosomal RNA", at positions 354 to 796 of the family's 1533-position model. The record is from RNAcentral.
GUGAGGAAUAUUGCGCAAUGGAGGCAACUCUGACGCAGCCAUGCCGCGUGCAGGAAGAAGGCCUUCGGGUUGUAAACUGCUUUUGUACGGAACGAAACGGUCCGGGUUAAUACCCUGGGCUAAUGACGGUACCGUAAGAAUAAGCACCGGCUAACUACGUGCCAGCAGCCGCGGUAAUACGUAGGGUGCAAGCGUUAAUCGGAAUUACUGGGCGUAAAGCGUGCGCAGGCGGUUUUGUAAGACAGGCGUGAAAUCCCCGGGCUCAACCUGGGAAUUGCGCUUGUGACUGCAAGGCUGGAGUGCGGCAGAGGGGGAUGGAAUUCCGCGUGUAGCAGUGAAAUGCGUAGAUAUGCGGAGGAACACCGAUGGCGAAGGCAAUCCCCUGGGCCUGCACUGACGCUCAUGCACGAAAGCGUGGGGAGCAAACAGGAUUAGAUACCCUGGUAGUCC